RNAcentral lists this ribosomal RNA (660 nucleotides) under Globigerinoides conglobatus. RNAcentral describes it as "partial 18S ribosomal RNA". The stretch from base 1 to 579 matches the Rfam family "Eukaryotic small subunit ribosomal RNA", at positions 1292 to 1607 of the family's 1831-position model. The record is from RNAcentral. Lineage: Eukaryota; Foraminifera; Rotaliida; Globigerinidae.
UCUUAGUUCGUGGAGUGAUCUGUCUGCUUAAUUGCGUUUCAAAAUAUGAAUUUGAGUACCAGGUCCCAAGUGUUUCAAGUAAAUCUGUCUCUGAGUGUGAACUGUAUCUCUUCGGAUAUGCGACUAUCACUCUUAGGCAAUUAUGAUUUGCUUGUAGCCCCUGGUACUCUUUUGAACGCAACGGACGUGAUUGCAACCCCUUGUUGAGUUUGCUUCUCUUAGGAACUCUACGUCUACUGAUCCACCUACCUUAGCGGGUAGGUGGUGAGGUGGAUAAACUCGGGGGACUGCUGACUAUAACCAUUUCUCAAAACAGAGGAAGGUUGCGGCAAUAACAGGUCUGUGAUGCCCUCAGAUGUCCCGGGCUGCACACGUGCUACAAUGAGUAGCGCAGUGUGCACAUUUUGAAGAGUGAUAGGUGCUGGGGUUGUACAUUUUAAAGGGCUCGUCCUAGUAACCAACCGCCCCCAAGCAUCUAUCAACCUUCCCUUUACAGGGUGGGUAACCUCUUCGAAGUGCUGGUUUGAUUUCCCUAGUGUUUGUCAUAAUAAUCCUCGUCGCACCUACUCUAGGACAUAGUGAACAUUGUAGACUUUGUCAUAAUGAUUCCCGUCUUAGGUUUGCGACGCAUGCUUUUCCUGGUUGACUCAUCGUGGGAAC